RNAcentral lists this ribosomal RNA (1372 nucleotides) under uncultured bacterium. RNAcentral's name for it is "bacterial SSU rRNA". It matches the Rfam family "Bacterial small subunit ribosomal RNA", at positions 28 to 1381 of the family's 1533-position model. The record is from RNAcentral.
GAUGAACGCUGGCUGCGUGCCUAAUACAUGCAAGUCGAGCGAACGGACGAGAAGCUUGCUUCUCUGAUGUUAGCGGCGGACGGGUGAGUAACACGUGGAUAACCUACCUAUAAGACUGGGAUAACUUCGGGAAACCGGAGCUAAUACCGGAUAAUAUUUUGAACCGCAUGGUUCAAAAGUGAAAGACGGUCUUGCUGUCACUUAUAGAUGGAUCCGCGCUGCAUUAGCUAGUUGGUAAGGUAACGGCUUACCAAGGCAACGAUGCAUAGCCGACCUGAGAGGGUGAUCGGCCACACUGGAACUGAGACACGGUCCAGACUCCUACGGGAGGCAGCAGUAGGGAAUCUUCCGCAAUGGGCGAGAGCCUGACGGAGCAACGCCGCGUGAGUGAUGAAGGUCUUCGGAUCGUAAAACUCUGUUAUUAGGGAAGAACAAAUGUGUAAGUAACUAUGCACGUCUUGACGGUACCUAAUCAGAAAGCCACGGCUAACUACGUGCCAGCAGCCGCGGUAAUACGUAGGUGGCAAGCGUUAUCCGGAAUUAUUGGGCGUAAAGCGCGCGUAGGCGGUUUUUUAAGUCUGAUGUGAAAGCCCACGGCUCAACCGUGGAGGGUCAUUGGAAACUGGAAAACUUGAGUGCAGAAGAGGAAAGUGGAAUUCCAUGUGUAGCGGUGAAAUGCGCAGAGAUAUGGAGGAACACCAGUGGCGAAGGCGACUUUCUGGUCUGUAACUGACGCUGAUGUGCGAAAGCGUGGGGAUCAAACAGGAUUAGAUACCCUGGUAGUCCACGCCGUAAACGAUGAGUGCUAAGUGUUAGGGGGUUUCCGCCCCUUAGUGCUGCAGCUAACGCAUUAAGCACUCCGCCUGGGGAGUACGACCGCAAGGUUGAAACUCAAAGGAAUUGACGGGGACCCGCACAAGCGGUGGAGCAUGUGGUUUAAUUCGAAGCAACGCGAGGAACCUUACCAAAUCUUGACAUCCUCUGACCCCUCUAGAGAUAGAGUUUUCCCCUUCGGGGGACAGAGUGACAGGUGGUGCAUGGUUGUCGUCAGCUCGUGUCGUGAGAUGUUGGGUUAAGUCCCGCAACGAGCGCAACCCUUAAGCUUAGUUGCCAUCAUUAAGUUGGGCACUCUAAGUUGACUGCCGGUGACAAACCGGAGGAAGGUGGGGAUGACGUCAAAUCAUCAUGCCCCUUGUGAUUUGGGCUACACACGUGCUACAAUGGACAAUACAAAGGGCAGCGAAACCGCGAGGUCAAGCAAAUCCCAUAAAGUUGUUCUCAGUUCGGAUUGUAGUCUGCAACUCGACUAUAUGAAGCUGGAAUCGCUAGUGAUCGUAGAUCAGCAUGCUACGGUGAAUACGUUCCCGGGUCU